Molecule: transfer RNA, 75 nt
Filed under: Candidatus Nitrosocosmicus oleophilus
Lineage: Archaea; Thermoproteati; Nitrososphaerota; Nitrososphaeria; Nitrososphaerales; Nitrososphaeraceae
Also listed under: 8 other names
Description: Candidatus Nitrocosmicus oleophilus tRNA
Rfam family: tRNA
About the family: Transfer RNA (tRNA) molecules are approximately 80 nucleotides in length.
Source: Rfam by way of RNAcentral
GCCUUGGUAGCUCAGCCUGGCCAGAGCGUUGCCUUGGUAAGGCAAAGGUCGCGGGUUCAAUUCCCGCCCAAGGCU